RNAcentral lists this transfer RNA (75 nucleotides) under Deltaproteobacteria bacterium. RNAcentral's name for it is "tRNA-Val". It matches the Rfam family "tRNA". Rfam says of the family: Transfer RNA (tRNA) molecules are approximately 80 nucleotides in length. RNAcentral also lists the same sequence under 1 other name. The record is from RNAcentral. Lineage: Bacteria; Pseudomonadati; Myxococcota; Myxococcia.
GGGCGCGUAGCUCAGGGGGAGAGCGCUAUCCUGACACGGUAGAAGUCAAGAGUUCAAAUCUCUUCGCGCCCACCA